RNAcentral lists this ribosomal RNA (442 nucleotides) under uncultured bacterium. Its description in RNAcentral is "partial 16S ribosomal RNA". It matches the Rfam family "Bacterial small subunit ribosomal RNA", at positions 338 to 795 of the family's 1533-position model. The record is from RNAcentral.
CCUACGGGAGGCAGCAGUGGGGAAUAUUGGGCAAUGGGCGCAAGCCUGACCCAGCAACGCCGCGUGAAGGAAGAAGGCUUUCGGGUUGUAAACUUCUUUUCUGGGGGACGUACAAAUGACGGUACCCCAGGAAUAAGCCACGGCUAACUACGUGCCAGCAGCCGCGGCAAUACGUAGGUGGCAAGCGUUAUCCGGAUUCAUUGGGUGUAAAGGGCGUGUAGGGGGGAAUGCAAGUCAGAUGUGAAAACUCAGGGCUCAACCGUGAGCUUGCAUUUGAAACUGUGUUUCUUGAGUGCUGGAGAGGCAAGCGGAAUUCGGGGUGUAGCGGUGAAAUGCGUAGAUAUCACGAGGAACACCAGUGGCGAAGGCGGAUUGCUGGACAGUAACUGACGCUGAGGCGCGAAAGCGUGGGGAGCAAACAGGAUUAGAUACCCGAGUAGUC